UAAGGGCAUCUUGGGUAUGGAGAACGAUCACGAAGCACAGGGUGCAGCCAUUGAGCCCGCCACAUCUCCCCCUUUCCAGACUGAAGUAUAAGCCAAUUGCAUAUGCUUCUCUCUUCUUCGUUUC
RNAcentral lists this non-coding RNA (124 nucleotides) under Ctenophora environmental sample. Lineage: Eukaryota; Metazoa; Ctenophora. The record is from RNAcentral.